This 2438-nucleotide long non-coding RNA is filed under the name Triticum aestivum (bread wheat). RNAcentral's name for it is "long non-coding RNA (TAES_LNC023231)". The record is from RNAcentral. Lineage: Eukaryota; Viridiplantae; Streptophyta; Magnoliopsida; Poales; Poaceae.
CACGACACCGAGAUUUGUUAACGAGGUUCACCGAUAUGGCUACAUCCCCGAGGCUUGACUACGGGCGCUCCUCCCCGUGACACCGUCACAAUACCGCACCCGGUCACCCUGGACACCGGCACAUGCCGCCGGCUUCCCCUGCGUUCCGGUGUUAUUAUGUUGGCAUAGGUUACAUCGUGUGUCUACCCCGCUAUAUAUGAAAGGCCUAGGAUACAAGUGUCCUACUAGGACACGACUCCACAUCCUAUGUAAACACGAUACAACUACAAGUCCAACUGUAACCUAUCUUGUACACUAUAUUCGACACAACUCUAACAAACUCCACCUUGGCGAAUAUUCUCCACCACCAUGAAUUCGUCAAUGCGUCAAACUUCCAUGUACAUUGGACUUGAGCUUAUCCCGUGAGCACCGCUGCUACUCCAAAGACUCCAUAUGACUCCACCUGUAACUUGUAGUCUCUCCUUUUCUUGACCACAGUCAACACUCGAGCAAAAUUAAGUUCCUUGUUUCUUUAGUUUGUGCUCCCAACUUCCAGAGUAUCCGUCCAACACCAUCAUACACCGAUCACUGACCUGCGUGAAAGUGAACAACUCACAUAUUGGAUGCCACACAUAAGAGUUACCUGAACUCAACAUAACCGCUCCUUUCUUGACCGUCUGUCUGAAACUUGAAGGAAUUUCACCAUUGCUUGUAGUCAUCCCGAGUCAAAUUCGCAGUUGUCUCACCACAUGUAUGACCACCAGAGCCCUGGCCCGUCUCCAUGUCCCGUGCGUACCGCACGCCUCGCUGCUAUUACCGCGUCGAGCCUCCGCUGUCCCGGUCGAGUCUCAAGGGUCGUGAACCCACACCACUCAACCCCCACUGCAGAGUACCAUCGAUCAUCACCGACCGAUGACGAGUUUCACGUUUGCAUCAGACCACUGGGCUCCAGUCUGAACUACGUGUCCCUCGCUUUUUUUUCGCCUGCUGAAUAGGCUUCGACCCCGUCGACUUACGCCGUAGCCCCUCAAUCCAGCUCCACCUUCAACAUGACUCCAUGGUAGAUGAUCAAUCCACCCCUGCGCCUCAUAGACUUCAAGCUCCAUGUAUACACCACCUUGAAUCAAUCCCGCGCCAUAGUCUUGUCGAAGCCGCACAAGUCUCGGACAUGUGCACCAUGUGUUUCCAUGCCCAGAAGUCGGUCACCAUCAGCAUCACGCUCCUACGUCGUCUUCGCCGAUUCCACCACCGUCUUCUGUACCAACCGACUCACAUCGAUCCGUCAGACUGCCUAAGUCCGACCCAGCCGAACUAUUCCGGCUGUACGACACACUCGAGGCUCCCAAAUCAUCUUCUGCGAAUCUCCAUCCAUCACUUGAUAAUUCCAUCUUAGCUGACACGACUUCCCGCAACGCCAUCAAGCAUUCCCAUUGUGCCAACAAAUCUUUCAUCCGUGUCUACCAUAACCCAAGAUUUUUAGUUCCAUGAACUUCUCCGCCUCAAACGUGGUACCGUGGGCGCCACAGUUCUUUAUAUGGUUGGCCCUGCGAAAAAUUAUCCGAGCUUUCCUCACGUGAUGCCCAAGUACACAAGCAAAACCUGACGUGGUACACCCUCGUGCACUAAUAGCAAAUUCCAACCAAAGAACACUUUUGAUCUUCACGUGUAGUAGCUCUAGCUCAACUCCUGAUGCUGUUGUUGCUUUGUCAAUGUCCCAGCUAGUAUGUAUCGCUCGAUGGAUUUCCUCUUUCCGCAUAUUGAUUUGCCUGCCUAUCUCCGUGUCGCAUGGAGAGUCGGUCUCCUUUUUGUCCAAACAAAUCCACGGUGUUUCUUCUGUAUGCACACGCCACGAGUCCUCCACGUAUGCUUCAGCCUGCUCUUGAGCGACACCUAUGCGAGACGCGCCUCUGGCCAGCUUCGGGCUUUGCACCCUGCUGCAGCCACAUGAGCCGCACCGCCGUGGGCCUCGCCUAGGCUUCGCCAGACGCCAGCGAUCCCACCCGCACGUACACGCGCUGCCGAUGCUCGCCCGAUCGAUCCACCGAUCGAUCGCCGCACAUCCCGUGCGCGCACGCGUGCCGCUGCACGCGCAUACGAGAUUAAUCUGACGCAACCCGUCGCCGCCGACGCAUCCACCACGCAACUGCUUCUUCAUCCUAUAGAUCAACCCCCCUCACGCCUAGCUCAUGAUACCACUUGUUAAAAUAAAUUUAAGGCAUACCGUCGAUCAUCCGAGGACCAAGCAAUCACACGAGGCACGACACCGAGAUUUGUUAACGAGGUUCACCGAUAUGGCUACAUCCCCGGGGCUUGACUACGGGCGCUCCUUCCCGUGACACUGUCACAAUACCGCACUCGGUCGCCCUGGACACCGGCACAUGCCGCCGGCUUCCCCUGCGUUCCGGUGUUAUUAUGUUGGCAUAGGUUACAUCGUGUGUCUACCCCGCUAUAUAUGAGAG